GGACUUGAAAAGGUUGCAUAGUGAUGAGACUGGACGACAAAGGAAACAGAGUUUGGGAAGAUGAUUGUUGGAGCUGAGUAAAUCACCUUAAACUAUGUUGUGGUAGCCACAUAUUGAGCAUGGGCAAACCAGGAGACAGAAGAACUGCAUCUGACACCAUGACAGUCCAUACCAGCCCUAGACCAAUGAACUGUCGUUUUAUAAAGCAAAAAAGGAUGAGAAUGGAAAAAGAGCCUAAAGAAAAAAAAACUGAAGAACGUGGGUGAAAAAGGACAUCAAGGGCAAUUAAAUGCAUGUUCUGUCUUCUGGCAAGGUGAAUAAAAAUUAAAUAUUCAUUUAAAUAAUCUGCAUGCUUAUGUUCAACAAUCCACAUCUAAAAUAUUAUUAAUGUGUUAAAUUAUUAAACAUAAAUCACAAGACUAAAACUUCCAGCUUGUAAAAGUC
This is a long non-coding RNA of Felis catus (domestic cat), 444 nucleotides long. RefSeq lists it as uncharacterized. The transcript is spliced from 4 exons. The record is from RefSeq and is a predicted model, not a curated record. NCBI's taxonomy places the organism in Eukaryota, Metazoa, Chordata, Mammalia, Carnivora, Felidae.